AUUUACUUAGACGUACAAUAUAUAGUCCUCCUAUGUGUGGAUUAAAGGUGUCCCCAUUUUCUUCUUCAGGGGAAUCUUGAGGAGUUGUGCACUUUCCAUCCCCCAGCCACCGCUCCCCUUCGGGGGAGGCUCUUACUUGCUUGAUAUAAAAGGCAAGCAGUUCUUGGCCUGUGAUCCCCAGUGGCAGUGCCUGGCUGUCAGUAUGCUGGCCCCAAUGUUGAUGGACGUGAUGGGCUUUGGCUCCAGGUUUCUCUCCUGAGACCACAGCAGAAAGUGCCUUGGAUGAAGGUGUGUAUGAUUCACAUUCUCUGACCACAAACGCUUACUUUUGAUAAUUAUAUUAAUAAUACAUAGUUAUAUAGCAUCAUGGUCAUAAAUAUUACAUGAUGUCCUGUCUCA
Molecule: long non-coding RNA, 399 nt
Organism: Rattus rattus (black rat)
Lineage: Eukaryota; Metazoa; Chordata; Mammalia; Rodentia; Muridae
Exons: 3
Source: RefSeq, a predicted model, not a curated record